RNAcentral lists this ribosomal RNA (466 nucleotides) under uncultured bacterium. Its description in RNAcentral is "partial 16S ribosomal RNA". It matches the Rfam family "Bacterial small subunit ribosomal RNA", at positions 28 to 507 of the family's 1533-position model. The record is from RNAcentral.
GAUGAACGCUGGCGGCGUGCUUAACACAUGCAAGUCGAACGAUGACGCCCAGCUUGCUGGGUGGGUUAGUGGCGAACGGGUGAGUAACACGUGAGUACCCUGCCCUUAACUCUGGGAUAAGCCUGGGAAACUGGGUCUAUUACCCGAUAGGAGCGUCCACCGCAGGGUGGGUGUUGGAAGGAUGUAUCGGUUUUGGAUGGCCUCGCGGCCUAUCAGCUUGUUGGUGAGGUAAUGGCUCACCAAGGCGACGACGGGUAGCCGGCCUGAGAGGGUGACCGGCCACACUGGGACUGAGAGACGGCGCAGACUCCUACGGGAGGCAGCAGUGGGGAAUAUUGCACAAUGGGCGCAAGCCUGAUGCAGCGACGCCGCGUGAGGGAUGACGGCCUUCGGGUUAUAAACCUCUUUCAGUAGAGAAGAAGCGAAAGUGACGGUACCUGAAGAAGAAGCACCGGCUAACUACGUG